GCUUUCUGAAAAGCAAACAAGCAGGAGAGGAUUGUUGGGAAAGGAAGUGGCCAGGCCUGUCCAAGGGGAGGCAGGCGUGGAUUAGCAGUGGGAGCAGAGGUUCCAGGAGCUCGAUAAAGGAUUUGCCAGGGCUGGGAAUGCGGAGGGACAUCCGUCACCUCCCCUUCACUGCGUGAUAUCGUGACAUUGAGCGAUUUAUGACCAAACCAGAACCGACUAGUUUGGCAAAAGGGAUAUGGAGAGGAGCCAGUGGAGCAUCGUGGAAAAACUGCUCCUGCAAGGCGAUAGGGGAAAUUGUGUUAUUUUAAAAUUGCUGAUUUAUCGUACUUUGUUAAGUUGGUACAGCAAAUGGCUCUGGGAGUGCUGCCUGCUUGUGCAAGCUGCUUUUCUUGUGCUUUAAUCUGUUUUUCAGUACAAGAGCCACUCCAGUUUCAGCUCCCGCUCUGUAAGUCACAUUUUCAGCACGAUCAGUGUCAGGAAUUUGUAAAAUAAAUAAUUAAAUAAAUAGUGGUUUGUGUCUGUGUUGGGUUGAUUUUUUUUUUUUUUUAAGAAAAAAUUCUGGAGUAAAUAUUCCAUCAGCUGGUUGCUAAUUACAGCCAUUUGGGGAACGUUAAUUAAGACCACUUGCAGUGAACAUUGUUCAAGGAGGUUUAAAUUUCAUUUCUGCAUUUCAGUUUGAUUUUGGGUGGAAAGAGAAGUUGUGAGAGCUGUUACACCCAAUAAAGGGACUUACUUACUGAACCCCCCAGCUUUUCUGGACUCCACUGCCCUAAGAAACACCUCCAACUCUAAAGGGAGCAGUUCACCCCCUCAGAGUGCCAGAACUGGACACCAGUAACAACCAAUCUAUGGUACUGUCCCCCACCUUUGUGUUUUAGGGGUGAUGGGGGAUCAUUUUGGUCUAAUUUUUCCUGUGUUUUUUUGACAGCACUUGAUGGGGCACUUCCUCCUCCUUCUCCAUACAUUGCCAGGGACUGCAUUGCCAGCAGGACCAAAUUCCGAGAGAGAGCCUCCUGGAGAAUCCACUGCAGCCAGGAAUGUUUUCCAAGACAUCCCUUGAUGCACCGCUGAGUUCCAGGCCUGACAGAGGACCCAUGGCAACAGCCCUGGGCUCUGCCGGGUCAGGCUGGAAGAGGAGGUGGUGACAUCUGAUAAGGAACAGAUAAACUGAGGUUGCACUAUCCUCCUCCUGUGACUCCCCCUCUCCUGCCCUGCAUUCCUCUGAAAUAAUUGGGGUUUUUCUUCUCACUCUCAAAUUCCGGACUGGGGCACAUCCCCUUCAGCACAUUCUGUAAAGGCAGCCCUUGUGUUUUGCAGUCCAAGUGCUCUGCUAGCUCAGCUCUGCUCCUGGGUGUCCAGCAGCUCAUUCUCGGCUGCAGUCAUAUCCUUCCCGACACUCCUCUGCUGCACACUCAACUAUGGUCCUCUCCACCUUCAUCCUCUGAAGAGCAGCUCAGAGCAACACUUCCAGCAGCAAUUUCCUUUCCAAGAUGCCAAAAUUGCACCUCAUACCAGACAUGGCAGCUGGUCCCUUUGUGGCACAGAGAGGGAAGGAAUCAACAAGUUGUAACUCUAUUUCUGGCUGUAAGCAGGAAUUUCAGAGCAGCCUUUAAGGAUCCCACUUGCUGUCAGCAGAGUACAGGACACAGCUCUGAACGGGGAUGCACUGCACAGCCCAGCCUGGUACACCACUUCCAACUGUGCUGUGCCAGCACAUGUGAGACUGGACUCCCUGGAACAGCAACGGUCUCUCAGGCUUGUGGAAUACACUAAAUGCAUUUUCCCAAGCAUUUCUGUACUGCCAUAAGGUCUGGAAAUCUACUGAUAAAAGGGAGACAACUGGUAUUGGAGUGCCUCAAAGAUAACAUGCCAUUGCCUGACUCCUUCCUGAGGCCAUUCCAAGAGUCUCCACCCUCUACACAAUGGAGUUUACCUCUGAAGUUGUUCCUGCCCCUCCCUCUGUCUACAUCUUCAGGUAUUGCAUUAGGGAGUCUUUGAUACCCAAACCCAGUAGGAAAGCAUCCAGGUCACUCAGCCUCCACAAAAGCAGCAAGCCAUGUGCAGCCUCAGAGCCCUGAUCCAAGGCAACGUGUGUGCUGCUGCUGGAGGAGGAAGGCAGCUGUGUGCAGGCACCUGGAAUCGUGCAGCCACCUGGAACUGCACCGCCACCAUGGCCCAGCCGAGGGCAAACAAAUCUCGCAGGCAGGAAAGGAACACCUCUGUCAUCCCAAAGCACACAGUACUGGAAACAUCUGCUGGUUCUGCAAGCAUCUGAAACAAUGUGAUCCUCCUGAAUGUGCCAACAAGUCCUUCCCUGUCCUUGCUCACUCUUGGAUUCCCAGAAUAUCAGAGGGCUUUAUUCUCAACAGGGAUUGCCCCCUGCUUCUCUUUCUUCUGCAUAAAAUGGGCAAAACUGUGGUCAGAGAUGGGAUGGAGUUGAGCUGCAGGCUGUGGCAUGCACCUGCAGGAGCACAUCGGAGCACAAAGGAGCACAUGGCAGCACAGAGAGGCUUGUCUCUGCCUGACUUUGGGGGGAGGAGGUGCCACGUGGCAGAGCCAGGCAGAGAGGAGCCUGCCGGAAGUUGACAGAUGGGUGAACAGCCGUGACCACCCCAUAGAAGGACAUUAUUUCUUAAUAUCCUAGAAGAACUCGUUCUGCCCUGCGUCAUCAGGUGGAGCCGUAUUGCGGUGAGUAGCUGGAGCAGAGCGGGCCAUUUGUGGUAGAGUGUUCCCUCUCCAUUUGCCCUCUGCGAGAGUGUGGCAGCAGCAGCAGAGGCAGCAGCGGGAGGGCAUGGGGAGCCGCAGGGGCGCAGUGCUGUAGCAGCGGUGGUGAGUGCAAGGCACCAAGCACAUGGUGGCGAGCACGUGGCAGGGCUGUGCCAUGCUGGCAAGCACAUGGCACAGCCAGGGGCCGGCGACGAACGCUGACACAGCAGGUCUGGUGGGAUGCGUGUGGCUCUCUGCAUGUGGGCAGUAAGAAGGUGACCCUGACACAGCAGGUCUGGUGGGAUGCGUGUGGCUCUCUGCAUGUGGGCAGUAAGAAGGUGACCCAAGGAGCCUGAUGGCACUGGGAGGGGCAGUGCCAUGUCCCUGCUCCCUGCACAUGGCAGGGUUUGCCCAGGGAGAUGAGGCCGCCAUCUUCUGCAGGAGUGGCUGCAAGCUUGGCAUAAAGUUCCUGGGCUGGUCUGUAAAACUCCGCUGUAAUAUUGCCACAAUCCUGGAGUCUAUCUCAAAGAUUGCUCUUUUACCACAUCACCUUGUGACCCCCUGGAUUGUUCUAAUUGCUUUUUGUUAUGGAUGCUCUUGUAUUUUUAAGUCAUUUUUUGCUCUUGUUAAAAACUAACUUUUAUGUUUUCACUAAGCUGUAGAUUUUGACAGGACUGUUAAUUAGAUUUAAGGUUAACUGGGUGAUGGUAGUAUAUUUCUGGAUCCAGAAAGCAUUAAUACAUAGAGCUUUUAUGAAGGGCUUUAGUAGUAAGAUAAUUAUCUAAUGUUACUUAAAUGCAUUAUUUUGGUUACAUUAAUAAAGGUUUGCUUGCAGAUAUUUUGGGGAAACCCUCCCAGUCAAGGCUUGGGCCCUGGCCUAGCCCUGGCCCUGGCUGGUAAGGGAAGUAUACCAUCACACCCAAGUAUUUCUGCGCUUGAAGUGUAAUCAAUUCAUUUUGACUUGCUGAUUUGGUCUUAUAAAAGCUGGAUCCACUUUUAAGGUAAACUUGGAAACCUUGCCCAGGAAAGGUUUUCCAGGUCCUCACUGUGAAAUGGGUCUAUGUGGUGGCAAAACAGCAGGCCUGUAUAAGGUCUUGCAGACUGAAUCCUAAUUUGGUCCAACACAGCUGUGAGAAAGCUAACAGCUCUUUGUGAAAACAGAAGCCUGUAACGGCGAAAACUAACUUGUUUCCCUGCAAAAGAAUUCUACAGAUUAGGACUGUUUUCCUGUACCUGUUUCAACAAUCCCAACCGUCUCAGCAAAAGAAUGAAAACAGUAUCUCACAAACAACCCUUUCUUUCAUGUAGACACCUUGUCCAUGACUGACCAAUUACUAUGGGGUAACAAACAGCUUAUUACUGACCAAUAGGGGAUAGACAUGGGAGGGUUUAUAAAACUAUAUAAAGGGAUGUAUAAAAUAAAGUGGUAGCUUUUUUCAUGCCUUGAAAGAGUGUGUCUUGUCUCUCUGAAACGAGGUCAACAGUGACAGGGCUCUCCAGCGAUGGCACACUCUGGGUAACGGUAAAGUAUUUAGGCAGUUAAAGGUAUUACCUUUUUUUUGCUCAGUGGUGCUUGUUGCUUUGUAGAUACAUUGUUUUACUGGGUUAAAAUAUAUUCAUUUUAUAGUUGUUAAAACAAAAAAGAGGGAGUGUGGGGAUGGGCUAUAUUCCCCACAAAGGCCUUACAUGUUCUUAAUCACAUUCAGAAUGACCUAAACUCCGUCCAAUUACAUUUUUGCGAAUCACAAGCUCACUUAGACUUACUAAGAAUCUUGAAAGUAGAAAAUGAGAAGGACCCUUUCCAUUGAUAACCUGGGGGCAAAGUUAUGCUUGUGUUUUCAUAGAUUCCAGUCCAUGAUGGGUACCUGCAAGAGUGAUCCAACCAGCCUUGGUUGUUCUGGCUUUAUCAUCAACUUGUGGGGAAGCUGAGAGAACAAGAUGAAUGGAGUUUGUUUGGUUUGGGUUGUGGGCCAAUGUUGGGAUGUUCUAAUGUUGGGAGUGUUUCGUUUAGUGAUUCUUGUUUGUAUAAAACAAAAAAGAGGGAAUUGUGGUCAGAGAUGGGAUGGAGUUGAACUGCAGGCUGUGGCACGCACCUGCAGGAGUACAUCGGAGCACAAAGAAGCACAUGGCAGCACAGAGAGGCUUGUCUCUGCCUGACCUUGGGGGGAGGAGGUGCCACGUGGCAGAGCCAGGCAGAGAGGAGCCUGCCGGAAGUUGACAGAUGGGUGAACAGCAGUGACCACCCCAUAGAAGGACAUUCGGAAAGUGUGUUGCUGACGUGGUGAUGUGUGAUCGGUCGCUUACUGAGAAUUACUGUAAAAGGAAAUAAUUGUGUCGUGAAGAAGCGUAUAAAAGCAGCUUGUUUCUUUGAAUAAAUGAUUCUGAUUCCUUGCU
Molecule: long non-coding RNA, 5100 nt
Organism: Vidua chalybeata
Lineage: Eukaryota; Metazoa; Chordata; Aves; Passeriformes; Viduidae
Exons: 5
Source: RefSeq, a predicted model, not a curated record